GACAGAGGGGGCAAGCGUUGCUCGGAAUUACUGGGCGUAAAGGGCGUGUAGGCGGGAUGGCAAGUCGGUCGUGAAAUCCUUCGGCUCAACCGAAGAACGUCGAUCGAUACUGCCGUUCUUGAGGGUUGCAGAGGAGACUGGAAUUCCCGGUGUAGCGGUGAAAUGUGUAGAGAUCGGGAGGAACAGCGGUGGCGAAGGCGGCUCUCUGGACCACAACUGACGCUGAUGCGCGAAAGCUAGGGGAGCAAACAGG
Molecule: ribosomal RNA, 253 nt
Filed under: uncultured bacterium
Lineage: Bacteria
Description: partial 16S ribosomal RNA
Rfam family: Bacterial small subunit ribosomal RNA
Source: RNAcentral